Molecule: transfer RNA, 85 nt
Filed under: Culicoidibacter larvae
Lineage: Bacteria; Bacillati; Bacillota; Culicoidibacteria; Culicoidibacterales; Culicoidibacteraceae
Description: Firmicutes bacterium CS-1 tRNA-Leu
Rfam family: tRNA
About the family: Transfer RNA (tRNA) molecules are approximately 80 nucleotides in length.
Source: RNAcentral
GCGGGUGUGGCGGAACUGGCAGACGCGCUAGACUUAGGAUCUAGUACCUCACGGUGUGCAGGUUCGAUUCCUGUCACCCGCACCA